This 467-nucleotide ribosomal RNA is filed under the name uncultured bacterium. RNAcentral's name for it is "partial 16S ribosomal RNA". It matches the Rfam family "Bacterial small subunit ribosomal RNA", at positions 28 to 506 of the family's 1533-position model. The record is from RNAcentral.
GACGAACGCUGGCGGCGUGCUUAACACAUGCAAGUCGAACGGAAAGGCCCUGCUUUUGUGGGUUGCUCGAGUGGCGAACGGGUGAGUAACACGUGAGUAACCUGCCCUUUACUUUGGGAUAACUUCAGGAAACUGGGGCUAAUACCGGAUAGGAGCUCCUGCUGCAUGGUUGGGGUUGGAAAGUUUCGGCGGUUGGGGAUGGACUCGCGGCUUAUCAGCUUGUUGGUGGGGUAGUGGCUUACCAAGGCUUUGACGGGUAGCCGGCCUGAGAGGGUGACCGGCCACAUUGGGACUGAGAUACGGCCCAGACUCCUACGGGAGGCAGCAGUGGGGAAUAUUGCACAAUGGGCGGAAGCCUGAUGCAGCAACGCCGCGUGCGGGAUGACGGCCUUCGGGUUGUAAACCGCUUUCGCCUGUGACGAAGCGUGAGUGACGGUAAUGGGUAAAGAAGCACCGGCUAACUACGU